Molecule: ribosomal RNA, 301 nt
Filed under: uncultured bacterium
Lineage: Bacteria
Description: partial 16S ribosomal RNA
Rfam family: Bacterial small subunit ribosomal RNA
Source: RNAcentral
CAGUAGCCGCGGGAAUACGUAGGUGGCAAGCGUUGUCCGGAAUUAUUGGGCGUAAAGCGCGCGCAGGUGGUUUAAUAAGUCUGAUGUGAAAGCCCACGGCUCAACCGUGGAGGGUCAUUGGAAACUGGAAAACUUGAGUGCAGAAGAGGAAAGUGGAAUUCCAUGUGUAGCGGUGAAAUGCGUAGAGAUGUGGAGGAACACCAGUGGCGAAGGCGACUCUCUGGUCUGUAACUGACGCUGAGGGGCGAAAGCGUGGGGAGCGAACAGGAUUAGAGACCCCAGUAGUCCCUGUCUCUUAUAC